RNAcentral lists this ribosomal RNA (456 nucleotides) under uncultured Ochrobactrum sp. Its description in RNAcentral is "bacterial SSU rRNA". It matches the Rfam family "Bacterial small subunit ribosomal RNA", at positions 929 to 1382 of the family's 1533-position model. Lineage: Bacteria; Pseudomonadati; Pseudomonadota; Alphaproteobacteria; Hyphomicrobiales; Brucellaceae. The record is from RNAcentral.
GCGGUGGAGCAUGUGGUUUAAUUCGAAGCAACGCGCAGAACCUUACCAGCCCUUGACAUACCGGUCGCGGACACAGAGAUGUGUCUUUCAGUUCGGCUGGACCGGAUACAGGUGCUGCAUGGCUGUCGUCAGCUCGUGUCGUGAGAUGUUGGGUUAAGUCCCGCAACGAGCGCAACCCUCGCCCUUAGUUGCCAGCAUUUAGUUGGGCACUCUAAGGGGACUGCCGGUGAUAAGCCGAGAGGAAGGUGGGGAUGACGUCAAGUCCUCAUGGCCCUUACGGGCUGGGCUACACACGUGCUACAAUGGUGGUGACAGUGGGCAGCGAGCACGCGAGUGUGAGCUAAUCUCCAAAAAGCCAUCUCAGUUCGGAUUGCACUCUGCAACUCGACUGCAUGAAGUUGGAAUCGCUAGUAAUCGCGGAUCAGCCAAGCCGCGGUGAAUACGUUCCCGGGCCUU